This 26-nucleotide unclassified non-coding RNA is filed under the name Mus musculus (house mouse). Its description in RNAcentral is "oocyte_clustered_small_RNA12274". Lineage: Eukaryota; Metazoa; Chordata; Mammalia; Rodentia; Muridae. The record is from RNAcentral.
CUGAGGUACCUUGCCUUCAAGUGACC